RNAcentral lists this ribosomal RNA (352 nucleotides) under uncultured Porphyromonas sp. RNAcentral's name for it is "bacterial SSU rRNA". It matches the Rfam family "Bacterial small subunit ribosomal RNA", at positions 355 to 705 of the family's 1533-position model. The record is from RNAcentral. Lineage: Bacteria; Pseudomonadati; Bacteroidota; Bacteroidia; Bacteroidales; Porphyromonadaceae.
UGAGGAAUAUUGGUCAAUGGGCGAGAGCCUGAACCAGCCAAGCCACGUGAAGGACUAAGGCCCUAUGGGUCGUAAACUUCUUUUGUCGGGGAACAAAAAGGUGGACGUGUCCACUGUUGCGUGUACCCGAAGAAAAAACAUCGGCUAACUCCGUGCCAGCAGCCGCGGUAAUACGGAGGAUGCGAGCGUUAUCCGGAUUUAUUGGGUUUAAAGGGUGCGUAGGUGGCUUGGUAAGUCAGCGGUAAAAUUUCGGGGCUUAACCUCGUUUAGCCGUUGAAACUGUCGAGCUCGAGAGGGAGAGAAGUAGGCGGAAUGCGCAGUGUAGCGGUGAAAUGCAUAGAUAUUGCGCAGA